UUUUAAAAAGUGACUGAAACCAAAAUUUAAAAUAUUUUAAAAUUGUUAGUUUAGGUCGAGUAAUAGGAAAAACCCUAGGGAGGAGAUAAUGGUUAGAACUAGAGGUCUCGAACGAGCUUUAGGCCGAGCAAUAGGAGCCCUAGGGAGGAGAGAGGCUAGUGAUGAUGAUAAUGAUGCCCCCUAACGCCAAAGGCCUAUUGCAUAUGUCCGUAGGCAAUGACAACAGACGCGUGUUGUUGAGGAUCCUCUUAUGGCCACGGAGGAAUUAAACGAAGAGCAGCAACAACCACCUGUUGAAGAAGGUUUUACUAAUGUUGAGGGUUUUUCAUGCGGACCCCAUGACACAUCAGUUUUGAGAGAUUUUGAAAAUCACAUUGCUUUGAGAGUCUGAAAUGGAGAGGAACGUCCUCAGCUGAAGCUAUCUUCCCAUGGAAGGCAGAUGGCUAAGUUCGGUAGGCCUGCUCUAGAGAUUGAAGGCCUUGUGGCUGCCAACGGACUAAGUCCUUUGAUCGCAUGUUCCCUAGAUACGGGCGAUUGAGGACUAAUGUUUGCUUUUGUGGAACACUGGCAUAAGGAAACUAGUAGUUUUCAUUUUCCCAUAGGAGAGAUGGCUAUCACCUUGGAUGACAUGGCGUUGUUGCUACAUGUGCCUAUCAUAGGGGCAUUCCAUAGCUUCGAGCAACUUCAUGUCGACGAUGCCAUCAAUAUGUUGGUGGAAUUACUUAAGGUUAGCGCUGCAGAGGCAAGAGCUGAGAUGAUUCAAUGUCAUGGCUCGUAUGUUCAACUAUCAUGGCUGCAAGAUGUGUAUCAGAUGAAAAUCGAGGUAUGUCACUGGAUCGUAGCUGCACGAGCGUAUUUGUUGCAUCUUCUUGGAUGCACACGCUUUGCUAACAAGAGUGACACACACGUGCACGAGGUAUUCUUGGAUGCACAGGGUAUUCUUGGAUGCACUGUGUGACUUGACACAGAGUGGGACUUACGCUUGGGGCGCUGCUGCACUUGUGCAUAUGUAUGAUAAUUUAAAUGAGGCAUCAAAGAGCAUGACAAGGCAGCUUGCAUGAUAUAUCACUUUGUUACAAGUUAGUUCACAUGUUAAUAAAACAUUUUUUCAUUGGCGUUGGUUAUUAUAUGUUGUUGCUUAUUUUAAUGAAUAUGAUUGCAAAAUAUCUAUAGUGUUGGAUUUACAAGCAUUUCAUGUCUGUUGGUUCCCCCUAGCUACCGGGGAAUAUGACGAGCGGAGACUACGUGCAUGCCAAUGGACCUCUGGCAAGGCAUGACCCAUGUUGACGUAUCGUAGGUGUUUGGAUAGAUUGACCCCUGAUGUUGUGUACUGGAUUCCAUAUGGUGACCAUUUUUCAUUUAGAAAAUUUGAGGUCAUCUCCUUGUUUUUCAGUCAUCUUAGAUAGAGUCCCUUAAAGGUCAUUCAUCGACCGGAGAUGGUUGUACGACAGUUUGGGUACAUUUAGACCAUUCUGCCACAUCCUGUUGCACCUUCGGCUUCUAUUGAAGAAAUGGAUGCUAGAUGGAUGCAGUUCGGUGACUAUAUUGCACCUGUAGGGAAAAUUUGUGUAGCGCUUGGCCAAUGUUCGUCAUAUUACAUGGAGUGGCUCUACAUGAUUUCACAUCCGUUUAUGACUCCGGCACAACCAGGGGAUCCUCCUAGAGUUCCGCCAGUUUAUCAAUAUGACACAUUUGUUGAACCAUAUGUGUCUCAACAAUCGGUGGCGGUAGUGACACCUGAUGAAGUAGACUUUGAGGUGCAUCUUCCUGGACAUCUAGUGGAUGGUUAUGUAGCAAUUGCUGAUAAAUUGGAUAGACUACUGAACCUGAGGAUCCUGAUCGAAGGAACAAAAGUCUAUACUGUUGCUGAAGAAUGUCUAAGCAUCAUAAGAAGCUACAUUGGUCAACUAACUAGAGGUCACAGAUCAAGGCGUAGGCGGUGUAUAGACGAUCAUUGGAGUUUUUUUUGCCUUAUAUAUGUUAAUUUUUAUUUUUUGGAUAAUUUUUUUAUUUGGUACAUUUAUUUAUUGACAUUGACAUUUGAUUAAUUUAUAAAUUUGGUG
Molecule: long non-coding RNA, 2063 nt
Organism: Glycine soja
Lineage: Eukaryota; Viridiplantae; Streptophyta; Magnoliopsida; Fabales; Fabaceae
Exons: 3
Source: RefSeq, a predicted model, not a curated record